RNAcentral lists this ribosomal RNA (240 nucleotides) under uncultured bacterium. Its description in RNAcentral is "partial 16S ribosomal RNA". It matches the Rfam family "Bacterial small subunit ribosomal RNA", at positions 116 to 354 of the family's 1533-position model. The record is from RNAcentral.
CGUAAGCAACCUGCCUAUUAGAGGGGAAUAACAGUGAGAAAUCAUUGCUAAUACCGCAUAUGCUGUGAGUAUCGCAUGGUACAAACAGGAAAGGAGCAAUCCGCUAAUAGAUGGGCUUGCGUCUGAUUAGAUAGUUGGUGGGGUAAUGGCCUACCAAGUCGACGAUCAGUAGCCGAACUGAGAGGUUGAACGGCCACAUUGGGACUGAGAUACGGCCCAGACUCCUACGGGAGGCAGCAG